CUCUCUCUCUCUCUUCCGUGUUGGGUUUCAUGUAUUCCCUCGGGUCUGAAGCAUCCUCUGUUCCCGGCAAGUAUCAAGGAAGACGAUCGGCCCAUCGGUGAGGAACACCUCCGCAGCGCUUCAAGCUCUCGAUGCCAGCCGCGAAUAUGUCGAUCGACGAGUUUGAAAGGUAGAAGUCGAAGCUCGCGGGGCCUUCGUAGCCGCGCUGCUAGAUCUCCAAAAGGCCCAAAAGCUCGCUAUGAAGCGGGAAGAUGCCCGCAACGCCUCCCCUUCUCGGCCUUGGCCGCUGACGAGCUCGCCCGGCGAAGAGACUGCUGCGGGAGAGGAUGCAGGUGAUGACGACGACAGGUUGCUGCUCUGGGAACAGACGAGGUAAGCAUUUCUGGAGUACACAAAACAGAGAUUGGCCCAAAUAAAACCUUCAAUUUGGUUUACACCAAGAUGAUGGCAAGAGUUACUCUCCUUGGAGAAUGAGACAGCCUUCAAUGAGGCCAUAAUAGAGGAAAGGGAGGAAGAUAUCAAAGAAAUACACUAUGAUGUACAGCAAAUACACGAAAUUUAUCAAGAUCUCGCUGUCUUACUUCAUGACCAGCCUAUCAGUAUAGAUAACAUCGAUAAGCGUAUCGAAGAGUCAGCAGCAUCGACAGGCCGAGCUAAAGAACAACUGUACAAGGCUUCCAAAUGCAGUAGAUCUAGGUCUUCUUGGGUGUGCUGGGUGUUGAUAAUUUUGGUGCUGGUGCUGGUCAUCCUUCUCCUUGUUCUCAUCUUGCACCGGUUGCUUGCCCGGCAUGACAAUCCAGUACAAUCACUAGUGAAGCAAUGAUCAUUCGACGUGUCAGGCAAUAUGUAUCGCUAAUCAGUUUCUAACAUCUCAUGAUUGUAAGCUAAUUUUGAAGCAUCACAAUGUAAUCGAGUAUGCUUUGUACUAAUCUAUACCUGAAUUCUAUCA
Musa acuminata subsp. malaccensis (wild Malaysian banana) is the source of this 949-nucleotide non-coding RNA. The record is from RefSeq and is a predicted model, not a curated record. NCBI's taxonomy places the organism in Eukaryota, Viridiplantae, Streptophyta, Magnoliopsida, Zingiberales, Musaceae.